GACGAACGCUGGCGGCGUGCUUAACACAUGCCAGUCGAACGGAAAGGCCCUGCUUUUGUGGGGUGCUCGAGUGGCGAACGGGUGAGUAACACGUGAGUAACCUGCCCUUGACUUUGGGAUAACUUCAGGAAACUGGGGCUAAUACCGGAUAGGAGCUCCUGCUGCAUGGUGGGGGUUGGAAAGUUUCGGCGGUUGGGGAUGGACUCGCGGCUUAUCAGCUUGUUGGUGGGGUAGUGGCUUACCAAGGCUUUGACGGGUAGCCGGCCUGAGAGGGUGACCGGCCACAUUGAGACUGAGAUACAGCCCAGACUCCUACGGGAGGCAGCAGUGGGGAAUAUUGCACAAUGGGCGGAAGCCUGAUGCAGCAACGCCGCGUGCGGGAUGACGGCCUUCGGGUUGUAAACCGCUUUCGCCUGUGACGAAGCGUGAGUGACGGUAAUGGGUAAAGAAGCACCGGCUAACUACGUG
Molecule: ribosomal RNA, 468 nt
Filed under: uncultured bacterium
Lineage: Bacteria
Description: partial 16S ribosomal RNA
Rfam family: Bacterial small subunit ribosomal RNA
Source: RNAcentral